AUUUAAAUAGCUUAUAAAGAGCAUAAUAUUGAAGAUAUUAAGGAGAUUGUAAAAUCUUUAAAUA
This 64-nucleotide transfer RNA is filed under the name Papilio xuthus (Asian swallowtail). RNAcentral describes it as "tRNA-Phe". Lineage: Eukaryota; Metazoa; Arthropoda; Insecta; Lepidoptera; Papilionidae. The record is from RNAcentral.